Molecule: ribosomal RNA, 459 nt
Filed under: uncultured bacterium
Lineage: Bacteria
Description: bacterial SSU rRNA
Rfam family: Bacterial small subunit ribosomal RNA
Source: RNAcentral
UGCAGUCGAGCGCCCCGCAGGGGGAGCGGCAGACGGGUGAGUAACGCGUGGGAAUCUACCCAUCACUACGGAAUAACUCCGGGAAACUGGAGCUAAUACCGUAUACGUCCUUCGGGAGAAAGAUUUAUCGGUGAUGGAUGAGCCCGCGUUGGAUUAGCUAGUUGGUGGGGUAAUGGCCUACCAAGGCGACGAUCCAUAGCUGGUCUGAGAGGAUGAUCAGCCACACUGGGACUGAGACACGGCCCACACUCCUACGGGAGGCAGCAGUGGGGAAUAUUGGACAAUGGGCGCAAGCCUGAUCCAGCCAUGCCGCGUGAGUGAUGAAGGCCCUAGGGUUGUAAAGCUCUUUCAACGGUAAAGAUAAUGACGGUCACCGUAAAAAAAGCCCCGGCUAACUUCGUGCCAGCGCCCCCGGGAAUACUCCGUGCCAGGGGGCGGGGGGGUGAGAGGGGCCUCGUU